GAUGAAGAACGCAGCGAAAUGCGAUAAGUAGUGUGAAUUGCAGAAUUCCGUGAAUCAUCGAAUCUUUGAACGCACAUUGCGCCUUCUGGUAUUCCGGAAGGCAUGCCUGUUCGAGAGUCAUUAACAACCGUUUCGAUCCCUUUCUUUCAGAAAUUACAAAGAGGAAAAGGGUUUGGUUAUGGUGGAGGAGGGAAAGGGAGCGUUUAGCCUGUAAAAAAGAGGCUGUGUUCCGCCUCCCCCCCAACAUUGUACAGGCGGUCGUGUGCGCCCACGCAUCGAGGUGUUGUAAAAGCUGCCACGGCACUUUUCACCUGUGCAGUGCGAGAUUGGCCAGCCGGUUUAAAAACCCCUCCAAACAAUCAAAGGUUGACCUCGGAUCAGGUAGGGAUACCCGCUGAACUUAAGCAUAUCAAUAAGCGGAGGA
This 424-nucleotide unclassified non-coding RNA is filed under the name soil metagenome. Its description in RNAcentral is "partial contains 5.8S ribosomal RNA, internal transcribed spacer 2, and large subunit ribosomal RNA". The stretch from base 1 to 120 matches the Rfam family "5.8S ribosomal RNA", at positions 35 to 154 of the family's 154-position model. The record is from RNAcentral.